UAAGGAAUAUUGCGCAAUGGACGAAAGUCUGACGCAGCAACGCCGCGUGCAGGAUGAAGGCGCUUCGCGUCGUAAACUGCUGUAGCAGGGGAAUAAUGACACGUCACGGACGUGUUUGAAGGUACCCUGAAAGUAAGCUCCGGCUAACUACGUGCCAGCAGCCGCGGUAAUACGUAGGGAGCAAGCGUUGUCCGGAUUCACUGGGUGUAAAGGGUGCGCAGGCGGGAAGGUAAGUCGGAGGUGAAAUCUCACAGCUCAACUGUGAAACUGCCUCCGAUACUGCUUUUCUUGAGUUCGGGAGAGGUUGAUGGAAUUCCAGGUGUAGCGGUGAAAUGCGUAGAUAUCUGGAAGAACACCAGUGGCGAAGGCGGUCAACUGGCCCGUAACUGACGCUCAUGCACGAAAGCGUGGGUAGCGAACAGGAUUAGAUACCCUGGUAGUCCACGCCCUAAACGAUGAAUACUUGGUGUUGGUUCUUUUGGAUCAGUGCCGUAGGUAACCUGAUAAGUAUUCCACCUGGGGAGUACGCUCGCAAGGGUGA
RNAcentral lists this ribosomal RNA (541 nucleotides) under uncultured bacterium. Its description in RNAcentral is "bacterial SSU rRNA". It matches the Rfam family "Bacterial small subunit ribosomal RNA", at positions 355 to 897 of the family's 1533-position model. The record is from RNAcentral.